GUGGGGAAUAUUGCACAAUGGGGGAAACCCUGAUGCAGCAACGCCGCGUGAAGGAAGAAGGUUUUCGGAUCGUAAACUUCUAUCAACAGGGACGAAGAAAGUGACGGUACCUGAAUAAGAAGCCCCGGCUAACUACGUGCCAGCAGCCGCGGUAAUACGUAGGGGGCAAGCGUUAUCCGGAAUUACUGGGUGUAAAGGGAGCGUAGGUGGCACGCCAAGCCAGAUGUGAAAGGCCGAGGCUUAACCUCGCGGAUUGCAUUUGGAACUGGCGAGCUAGAGUACAGGAGAGGAAAGCGGAAUUCCUAGUGUAGCGGUGAAAUGCGUAGAUAUUAGGAAGAACACCAGUGGCGAAGGCGGCUUUCUGGACUGAAACUGACGCUGAGGCUCGAAAGCGUGGGGAGCAAACAGGAUUAGAAACCCGAGUAGUCC
RNAcentral lists this ribosomal RNA (429 nucleotides) under uncultured bacterium. Its description in RNAcentral is "partial 16S ribosomal RNA". It matches the Rfam family "Bacterial small subunit ribosomal RNA", at positions 354 to 796 of the family's 1533-position model. The record is from RNAcentral.